CCACACCCUGAGCAACCAGAGGGGCCCCAGCUCCUUUCUGGGGAACCACACUCAGCAUCUCAACAUCAAGCUGCCAGAGCUGAGAGCUGUGUCUGUGAGCAUCUGUACUUUAUUUCAGUUAAUUUUGUGCCUCUGUUAGCAAGAUGUGUCUGAAUAUAUCAGAAAAGAUAUCACCUGAGAGAGGUGACUUUUUGGGUCUGGAAAUACUUGAAAAUGUUUCCAUAUAAAUUAAUGGUAACUGUCUCUUCACUUUAUGCCAUUUUGGUGUAUGAAAGUUUUCAUAAGAACACUCUACUUUUGAAUAGUGUGUGGGGGUAAAUCUGUACACAUUAUGCCACUUUCUUUUGGAAAUAAGUUACAUAGAAAUUUACUGAAUAAUUUCCCUAAUUAGCUUUAAAAGUAAAGAAACACUUAAAAAUACAGAUAUUUAUAUAAGUUAAACAUUAAUAUAGAUAUAUUAAAAGAAAACUGUAGUAGCUUUCUGUUGACUGAGGACAAAUACCAGCUGUCUACUUAAAACUAGUUUGUGAUUACUUUGGGCUCAUGUUUAUAGUUUACAAGUUAGAGUGUUAUUGCUUUUUGAAACUUUGUCCCCUCCAAGAUAGCUCUGGUAUAAUACCAUUAUAAUCCAGUCAACUGGAUCAUUUAACCCAAUUACUGGGGCAUGCAGUUCUAAAGUUCGCUUGAUUUUUGAAGUUUAAUUUUAGUAAAAACUAUAAAUAAGAAAAAUCCUAAUAAAGAUGGUUGCUAGGCAUGCAGAUAAUAGAAAAGAAAGGCAAAGACCCAUUUUCAAUCCAAAAGUAGCUGGAUACUUUAUUGAAUUCUCUAUUUUGCUUGUAUAGACUAAUUAUCAAGGUAAAAAUAUCCUAAAUAUUCUAUGACAUUUAGAAAUGCAUUAAGGAUCUUCUACCAUCCCCAUUUUUGUUAGAAAAAAGUAACUUUUUUCUGUGACUGUUUUUACUAGAAGACACAUCAUUACAUUGAUGUUGCUUUUAACAUAAAGCCCAGAAAAGGUCCUUUUGAUAGUCUUUCUGGCACAGUUAUGAAAGGUAAUUCAAUACAUGUAUAAUAGAAGUACAGCACUUUUAAAAAAAAGAUGGGCUAAAUACUGUAAAAGAUUAAAUUUUUGAAAAAAUUUUAUUUAUAAAAAUUUCAUAGUAGAAAUUCUCAAUACUUUAAAGUGAACUUUUAAAAAGCUUCUAUAUAGCAGGCCAACCUCAACAUGACAAAAAAGGCAGCCUACAGUAUGAGAGAGUAUAUUUGUAAAUGGGUUAUCCAAUAAGGGGUUAACAUCCAAAAUACAUAAGGAACUCAUAUGCCUCAACACCAAAAAAACAAAUAACCUGAUUAAACAAUAUGCAGAGGAUCUGAACAUUUUUCCAAAGAAAUAUGCAUGGCCAACAGGCAUACUGAAAAGACUAUCCACAUCACUAAUCAAAAGAGAGAUGCAAAUCAGAACCACAAUGAGAUAUCACUUCACACCAGUCAGAAUUGUUACUAUCCAAAAGACAAGAAAUAACAAGUGUUACCAAGGAUGUGGAGAAAUGGGAACCCUGCUACACUGUUGGUAGGAAUGUCAUUUGGAGCAGCCACUGUGGAAAGCAGUAUGGAGGUUUCUCAAAAAACUAAAAAUAUUAAUACUAUAUGAGUCAGUGAUUCCACUUCUAGGAAUUUACCCCCCAAAAACAUGAUUCCUGAUUCAAAAAGAUAUAUGCACCCUUAUGUUUACUGCUGUAUUAUACAGUAACCAAGAUAUGGAAGGAACCAAAGUGUCCAUCAGCAGAUGAAUGGAUAAAGAAGAAGUGGUGUGUAUACACAAUGAAAUAUCAUUCAGCCAUAAAGAAGAAAGAAAUUCUGCCAUUGUGACAACAUGAAUUGGCCUAGAGGGUAUUAUGCUAAGUAAAAUAAGCCAGGUGGAGAAAGACAAAUACCAUAUGACUUCACUUAUUUAUGGAAUCUAAAAACAAAACAAAACAAAAUGAAUAAAACAGCAGUAGACUCAUAGACACGGGGAAGUGACUAGUGGUUACCAUGGAGGAGGAGGGUUUGGGAUGGGUGGGUGAGGGGAAUAAAGAGGCACAAAAUCUCAGUCAUAAUGUAAGUUGGUCAUGGGGAUGGAAAUGCGUAAGAGAGAAUAUAGCAAUGAUUCUGUAACAUCUUUCUACAUUAACAGAUAUUAACUGCACUACGGGUGAGGAUUUAAUAAUGUGUAUAACUGUUGAAUCACUGUGUUGUAUACUUGAAACCAAUAUAAUGUUGUAUAUCAACUAUACUUCAAUUAAAAAAGUACAAAAAUAUGAACUUCUGAUUCCAAAAUUAGUUUUCUAGAUGGAUAUAAAUGAAACAUUGGGGUCAUUCGUUAUAGCUUCUCAUCUUCAUUGUGAGAAAUAAAGGAUGUUCUAAUAUCAUCUUGUAGUUGUCACAAAAGCAGUGACCUUCUAAGUUAAGGCCUGAAUUAUUUCGAGUUUUUUUUUUUCUCAACACUGUGUUUUUCAGAAAAAGCAUCCCAGGGAACUCCAUGAAGUCAGGGGACAGAUUGACUCAUCUUUGCUGGGUAUUUUGCAGUGUGUAUCGGCAACAUUAUCCCCUUAGAAUCAUGUCUGUGUAUAUUACAGUAGGUGACAUAAACAACAGUAUUUAGUUCACUAUGUGUUCAUUUAGGUGCACAGUUUUUGUAUCCAAGUACCUAUGGGGAGGAGGUUGAAAAUAUCUUUGUAGAGCAUUGGAUGAAGUGGAAGAACAAAGAUCAUAUAAGUGAUUGAUUGAUUCAUCCCAUUGUGAUUAAGCUAAGUCACAACAAUUAAAUUUAGAACAAAUUAUCUUUUAUAGAUGUUGAAUAUGGUUGCCUUUGUUAAGAAAGUUGUCAUUUUCAAAGUACUUCCUUACUUGUUUUUAAUAUUAAAGGAAUGGUACAUGUUUUUUUUAAAGCCUUAAGUUGUUUUAUUGAAACCAAGAUUUCUUAGAGAAGUUCUCUGACUAUUCUAUGCUGAUUCAUAUCAUAAUGUUUUCCUUCCAAGACUCUACACACAACCAACAGAGUCACACUAAUGCUCCUUUGAAGAGUAAUUGUUCUUAGCAAAAAUAAGGAUUCUGGAGUUCUUGUUACAGAACAUUUUGUAACAGGAAAGCACAUAAAAAUAUACUCCAAAGAAAAAAUUAGCAACAGGGUUUCCAGUUUAACAAGAAAUUCGUGAGGACUAUACCAGGCUGUCAGGGGUUGCAAAGAUAAGUGUGACCCAACUCUUGUCCUCAAAGACUUUUGUGAACUCAAUUAGGGGAUAAGAUGACACAGUUAGGAAGAUUGGAAAUGGGGUAGAAAAGACCAGAAUGACCUACAGUGAUAUUUCUGAGGAUGGAAUGAUCAUAUGUGGCUGAAAGGGUCAGAAAAGACUAAAGAAAGUGGUUCACUGUCAUUCUUCUGAGACAUCAUUUGUGCCCUAUUGACAUUAGCAGAAGCACCUCCAAUACCUGUGGUGUGGUGGUGCCGCCCAGUAACCCCCACUUUAUCAUUUCUUCAAAAGAAACUUGGAAAGCAAAUGUGCCAAAGUUUUUAUUAGUGCUUCAUUUUGUAUAUGUGGUGCCAAGUUUUCUGCUGAUAAGUAAACAUCUACAUUUUGAAUGAAGAGAGAUGUUUUUAUUUGUUGAUUGUUGGAAUGGCUAAGGUAGGACUUUGAAAACGAGGUAUACUGCUUAAAUCAUUCCUACUUUUAAUUAUUGUUUGCAUUUUCACUCAUGGUCUGUUUUCUAAAGGCCUUCUUUGUUCCACCCUUAUAUGUGCUGCAUUUCUUCUGACAAUUUCUUAUCACUUCUUCCUGAAGAUUUUUUUGCUUUAAUGUUUUCUUGGACUCUUUGUUCUCUUCAUGUCCCCAUGGUAUCUGCAUAUUCCACUAUAUUAGAUGCAACUUAUUAAAUUAUUGUUGGGUAGAAUUCAUGAGGAUCUCACAGGAAUAACUGUGUUGGAGUUAUUGGAAAAUUUUUGUUAUUUCUGGUUAUGUUCCAGGAAGCUUUAAUAGCAGUAUGAUUGUGAUUGCUGCCUAUCUUCUUGAAAAUAGAAGUAUCUGCAUUUGAGGUUGUGUAAUUUAAGUGUUUGUAAAUUUCUCACUCAUUUGCCUCACCAGAUCCCCACUUGAGACCCAUGUAGUUUCAAAUGACAGAAGGAAGGAGACACACGUAGAUUUGUUGAUUAUAUACUGAAGUGUACUCUAAAAAGAAAUUAAAGCCUUUUGAGUUCUAAAAUAUAUGCUGACUCCAUACUUGUGAUUGACAUGCCAGAAAUUGAUGCAUACAUGUAACUUCUGCUGCUCUCUGAAUUUGCAAAGGCCAGGGAGUUAGAAGGCUAGCUACAGCUAGUAAGGGGUGGCCUCCCUCAUUCAUUGCAACUUCUCUUGAAUUAAGUGUCACUCAUACAAGAGUAAUCUCUUUUCUAUUCCAGUUUCACCACUCUGCCCAGCUUUUAUCAUCUACCCCUUAUGAGGAAUUUUUCCCAUCCAGGCUAACUGAACUCCUCUGGCCUGUCCUCUCUCUGCCAAAAUGUGUCAUUUGCCAUUCUUCAAAUGUCCUCUUUCUUUGUGUUUGUUAGUGAAGUUGUCUUUCAAUUUCUUUCCAGUGACGUUCUGCUCUUCCUUUUUAAAAUAUAGGUCAAAUGCCUCUUCCUGCAUGAGGUCUUCUGAUCUUUCCAGAAACAGUGAUCUCUGCUAAUUAAGCAUCCCCCAAAGUUAUAUGGGAAAAGCUAUUAAAAAUAAUAUUAAAUGAAGAAUUUAUACUUCAUUUAGUGUUUGUUGUAUUGGGUAUUCUGUGGUUAUUUGUAUGAAUCUUACCCCUAAGGAGAGUCAUUGUAUCUUAAAUUUAUUUUUAUAUUACCUAUACCAUGUAGCACGGUUUUAUGCACAAGGUAAGUAACCAGUAAAGAUUUUUGGAUUUAAUGAAAUUUGUGAGUCCCACAUGUACCAACACACAUGAGGUGGCUAUGGCCAGGGGACCAUGGUUAAUUUUGAUGCCCACUUCAGCCUCAUGCUUUAGAAGACUGUAAAUUGUUAUCAACCCUUCUAUUAUCUUUUGGUUUUCAUUCAUUUCCUAUUGCAAAGUAAGACACACACCUAUCAGAAUAUUUGGAAGGAAUUUUUUCUUCAUUUAAUAUUAUUUUUAAUAGCUUUUCCCAUAUAACUUUGUGGGAUGCUUAAUCUGAGCUAAGAUGAUUUUGCCUGCUUUUAGUCUGUGUUUUUUAAAGCUCUCAAUGGACUACUAAGACUAAAGAGUUGGUAAAACCUGAGAUCUGAAUUAGGUACAUGCAUUUUUAGGUAGCAUCCAAGGAUUAGGGUAUGAGAAUAUUGCAUAACCUUCAACAGCUUUUUUUCCCCUCCAGCACUGGAAUGGAAAGAGGGCCAAACCGUAAAGAGGCCUGAAUGAUUGCUUAAGAACACCUCUUAGGUUGCAACAGAACUUGACUAGGAAAAUAAGCUCUGUCAGAAUCUAAAGCAAUUAUUUGACAGAAUUUUGCAAUUAGUUGCAUAGUAAAGGUGCUAUUUAAAUAAAGGUUGUAUUUAAACCUGAAUUACUAUAAAAGUGCCUUGAGUAUUUAUAGUUAUAAUAUCCAUUCAUGCCUGAGAGGGAAAGGAUUUGGGAAGAGGGAGAGGGAAAGGAAGAGAGGAAGGAAUAGCUACAGGAAGCAAAGUUUUAGGUCAGGGGUUCCCAGCCCUUUUGGAUUUAUGGCACCCCAGUGAGUCCUCCCUUAAGGGGCUGCCCUCAUCGUGCCCAGCAUUCGAUCUUCCUUAACCUCCGCCAGAACUCCUGCUGUCACAGGAACAGGGUAAAUGUGUGUGUUUAGGCCAGGCAGGGGUCUGUACAGGGAGCGUGCGGGGGUAUGUGCAGGGAGUAGGGAGUAGAUAAAAUAACUCAAAUACAGCUCUUGGAGUUUUUAGAACAUCUGUGAGUUCACAAUGGAGGAAAGAUAGACUUUUGAAAAGAAAUGUUUAUCAAGCUGGCCCCUCUGAGACAAAUUAUUAGCAGUUGUUGAUGUAGGACUGUGUAUUCAUGUUACCUAUAUUUUUCACUUUAAGAUUGCUUGAAAUCAAGUAAAUAUUUAUUUAUAUAACAAUUAUUAUAUUUUCUUAUGGUAUAGUUGACCUACAUUAUAUUAGUUUCAGGUGAAUAAUGAUUCAGUAUUUGUAUGUAUUGCAAAAUGAUCACCACAAGUCUAGUUAACAUUAGUCACUGUACAUUGUUACAGAAUUUGUUUUUCCUGUGAUGAGAACUUUUAAGAUUUACUCUCUUAGCAACUUUCAAAUAUACAAUAGAGUGUCACUGUAGUCACCAUGCUGUGCAUGACAUUCCCAGGACUUAUUUAUUUUAUAACUGGAAGUUUGUACCUUUUGACGCCCUUUACCCAUUUCAUUCCUCCACUCCCCUGCCUCUGGCAACUCUGCAGGUAUCCUGUUUUAAAAAUACAGAUUUCUUUGAAAUAUUUAAGGGUCUACUCCUUGGAUUAAUUAACAAGUUUUGGCCUAAUAGCUAAAUAUCUAUCUUUAAUUGCUUAUGAUUUUUUUCCUUUGCCAGGAAUUCUCUUCUCUCCUUGUUUACCUGGAGGAUUCCUACUUAUCCUUUAGGACCCAGCUUAGAUUCCACUUGCUCCAUGUGACUGUUCCAGGUCCGUCUCCUUUCUGCAUGAGAAGUACUUUUCCCUCCGUCUAGGUUCUCAGUUAGACUGGUCUUUUCACACUUCCCUUAUAAUUUUUGUUAUCAUUCUGGCUUCCCAAUAGACUGUAAAGACAAAUACUGUGGCAUCCUUGAUACUAUUUCUUUGGACUCAGUAUUGACAGUGACAAAAAGCAAGAACUCAAACAUCGAUGGAAUUUUUUUAAAUUGGAAAUUAAGUUCAAAUGAAUCCUAUUAGAUGAUUUUCAGUUCAGUCCUUGCCUGGUCUAAUAUUUUUUGAUUUCAGGAGAAAUAUAUAAUUUUAGUAAAUUUAACAAUAAUGAUGAUAAUUAAAAUACAGAAGUGAACAUGUUAAGGGAAUUUAUUAUUUCUAUGUACUGUAAUUUGUACAUACAUUCAUUUAAUUUUGGCAAUAACCCUGUAGUAUUGUUAGUAUUAUUAUCACAUUGACAGAUGUGGAAGAGAUUAUGUGACUUACUCAAGGUCACAUGACUCAUAACUGGCAGGAUUUGAACCUCAGUCUGUCUGAUUUCUGAGCUUAAUCUGUCAGCAGGGUUAGAACGAAAAGAUGAACAAACCAAGCAGCCUCUCUGGGGCAUUUAUUUAUAAAGGUUGGUAACACACCAAUCACUGGAAUAAGAAUGAAUACUAUCAGUUAAAAAAGGUUUCCAUAUACUCAUUCUUCCCUGUCUGGUAAAAAAGCUGUAACUGAGCCCCUGAAGGAGGCACCAAGCCUUUGACCAAGCUGUUCCCAGUUCCCUAAUCUAGAAGCUGCAUCCUACUCUGAAAUCAUACAGUGCUUCUAUUUUUAUACCUCAUUUCCUACUAGUGUUCCAGUUUAAACACCAUGAUAAAAUGGUAUUCAGUUUGAGCCAAAGGCCUAUGUGUCCAACACUCACAGUCCAGAGGGCAGUGCUUCUGUGCAUCUGCUCAGGCUGCGCUGUGGGACGCAGGUCUGGGGGGCCCAGCUCAGCGCCACCUCCAGCCUGUAAUGGAGACGAGGCUGAAAGGAGAUUUGGAAAUUAGAGGGAGCCAAUGGGGCUCAGGUGCUGUGAGCCCCAUCCCCGUGAGAGGGUGGCAGGGAGAGCCUGACAGGAGUGAGCUGGGGAUUGGGGAGUAGAGGAGACCCUGUGUUAGUCAUGCCAGAGAAAUCUGUAGGGAAAGAAGCUGGUGGAUGCAGCCGGUGGCAGAGAAGAGAGGACAGUGGAUGGGAAGUAACAGUGGGUCAGAGGAACUGUGAAGGGCCAAGCAGAGAAGGUGCCUUCACGCAUCAGGGACGGGGUGGGGCCCCCAUGUGGGUGGAACAGUCAGCCGCAGGCAUCUGCACAGCGAACCAGUGCAGAUGUCUGCAGGACAGUUACCUCUCUCUGCUCCUGUAUCUCCCCUAAUGGGGUCAGAAACAGCCGCUCGCCAGCCAGUAAGGAGGCUACAGAGAUCUGCUGGCCAAGUGAGGGGAGCCAGGCAGGGGUGGCCAGAGUUUCUUUUUUUAUGUGAAGUGGCUAUUUAAUUACUGAACCAAGACUAUUUUAAGGACUUUUUAUUAUCCAACACCUGGCACACAACUGUGGGGCCUGUCUUAGAUUUAAUCCAGGGCCAGAGGAAGAUUUAGCCUGGCAGAGGAGAUUUACAGGGGUGCUUGACUAGGGAGAACAGUUGCUUUAUGACCUUCAUGUAUUGCUUUCACUACCCUGGGUCUGAUUUCUUCUCUCCUAGACAUUAAGCUCCUUGAGUGUAGGAGCUUAGAAAUUAGAGGGAGAUGAUGUCUUAGUCAUUUGUAUGUUGUACAGAGCUGUGCACCCAUCUAUUGGUUCAAUACAUACAUAUUGAAUAAAUAUUUGGUUAUGAGGUUAAGUGACAUGUGAUUUUUAAUUACAAAGUAAAAAUAGGUACUGGGAUUACUGUUUUUGUUAAAAGAAACCUUUAAUUUUAGAGUAGUUUUAGAUUUAUAGAAAAGCUAUGGAAAUAGCAGAGUGUUCCUACAUACCUCAUGCCCCAUUGCCCCUACUGUUAAAAUUCUACUUUAGAAUGACACUACUGGUUACUUUUUAUCUGUACAAAUUCCACUUUUUACAGUUUGAGAUGAUAGAGGAAAGCAUGCCACAGUAUUUAUUUCCAAGAGUAGCCAUGUUGAUUUGCGGAUCAAGGUUUUGUACUAUUUUGUUAAAUUUUUUCAUGAGUUGCUUUCUGAAAGUAAUACAUUUCCUAAUUUCAGUUACAAAUUAAACUGUAUUGCAGAAUUCCUACUGAGUCAUAUCACUACGUCCCAGGCCCUUGAACUUCACAAAGUAGUUACGUUUUUCUUUAAAAUGGUUCAGGAGGAACUUGAUGUUUAUGUGAGCUGUCAUACUCUCUGUUCCAUGAUGGAGUGCUUCAUGUUGUUGCCAAAAAUAAUACGGAUGUAAAGUUCUGAUUAUUUUUGGUUUAGAUGGUUUUGUACAGAGCCAUAAUAUAUCAGGAGGUGAUCAAGUAAAAUGUUUUAAUCCAAGAAAUCUUCCUCCUUGUAGAGCCCAGCUUGAUUCAAACAAGUUGUGUGGUCUUCCUUACAGAAAAAUCACACAAAAAAAGUUGAUAUAAGAAAAAUACUUGAGAAGCCAAAUGCCCUAAAUGAACGAGUAAUAGAAUCAUUUUUUUGUGUUGUAUGAUGUAUACUUUAUCACCAACUGCCUGAACCAUAUUUGGGAGUCUCUUAUUUAAUACUUAUGUGUUCACAAGGAGUGCUUAAAGUAUUAAACAUGGUGAGGCUGAAGUACUGUCAUAUGGUGGGCCUGUGUAAAAAUGGCUUGAUAAACUUGUUUACACAUAUAGCUUAACUUAACCACCUGUAGUGGAGAUUUCAUCCAUCUAACACCUUGUCUAACGUCACCCAUUCUCAGUGGUUUUGUGAUCACUGGGGCUCUUUUGUCCUGCCCACCACCAGUGCCGGUGAGUGUCUGGGACUGGAUGUCUUAAGUCCCUCUGAACUCAGUAUGCCUAAAACCAACUCAUCUGUUAAAGUCAUUAUUUCCCCUGAUGUCCCCUUUUCAAUGUAUGGUAGUAAUUCAGUGACCAUCCUUAAGCCUCAUACUUUACCUUUGACUUUCUUUCUACCCCUGUAUUCUAGCCAUCUUCACAUUGUUGACUUUGAGUGGCCUUUGCAUGCGUGUUUUCUUUUCCACUUCCAAAUCCUUAGUCCAAAGCUGAUCACCUUAUAUCUGGAUUAUUAAUAUAUCAACCUAACUGAUCUAUCUUCCUCUAUUUUCUCUCCCCCAAAGCACACAGACCACACUCACACACCACACCCCUUGUAUACUCUUCUUGCACGUGCGUGUACACACACACACACACACACACACACACACACACACACACACACACUUUAAAAAUGGUCUAGCUCAUAGUCAGAUUAAUGUUCCUAAAGUGCUUACAUCAUUUCAACAUGCUAAAAAACUUCAGCAGAUGGCUCCUCAUGCUUACAGGGAUGUGGUCUGGACUUGUCAGUCUGACUUUGUAGGCAGUUCCCCUUUUAGUUCAUUGUAUUGAGAGCUCUUCUAUCAUUACCCUGGAUUUCUGUAUGGAGAAAGAGAUUUAUAUGCUCUUUAUUGAGACUUUCUACAGAGUGAAUUAGGCUUUGUUUAAUAAAGUUAGCUUUUUUGUGGCAUCUUCUAGAAUGCAUUCAGGAUUGUACAUUGGCCUCAAGCUAGAUUCCCCCAUAGCUCCCAGAAAAAAUUGAGAACAUACUUAACCCAGGCAGCUGAAUGAUUCAUCCACAGCCUUCUGAAAAUUUAUAGGAUUAAGUGAAGUUAGUAUUUCAAAUAGAGGCAUUGUAAGCAUCCUGCAUUUGCUUGACUCAGUAAGUAGGGGCUAUUACUACAGGUUUAUACAAUUUCAGUAUUGUUCUCUUGAAACACUUUGGUCAAAUGGUCCCUGUCUCUGAAGCAUUUUGUGAAAAGUCCUCUUCCCUGAAUGUUUGUGGGUUUGAGGGCAAUCCUGAAAACCUCAUGGGAAGAGGCCUUUAUCGACACAUCAUUAUAUAUUGAUAUAUAAUAAGAUCCAUUACAAUAUUGGUAAUAUGAAUUGGAUUUUACAUAUGACCUACUUCAUACUGAGUGGUAACUAGUUUAUUUUAUAACAUUACAAGGUAAAGGUGGAAAGAAUGAUAUUGUAUAUUUUAUUUCACUCAUAAUUUACAUUUGACUUUGAAUUGUUAUAUUUACCCUAUGCUUGCCUUUUAGGUUCAGUAAAGCAAAGAAACAGUUGUGGAGAAGAGAAUUUAAAUCAUUUUUUGUAAAAUAUGUGCACAGUAUUAAGGUUGUUUGGGCUUCUUUAGCUCCGUGGCCAGGUAAAGCUUUUGCUACUUGGAUUCCUGGUCUUUGUGAAGUGGCCUUUGAGAUUGGUUGAAAUAUUUUAUAUCUAUGCUUAGGAUGUAGGCUGUGAAUUUUUCCCUUCAGUAUUUCUAAGGUAGUUAUUUUCACUUUCAAUUUUCAUGCAGUAGCUCUGAAAAAAACCAAACAGGUGUUUAAUAUUUUGGUGACCAAAUAUAGAUGUGCACACCACGUAGUGGUGCUCUUCCGUGCUGUGCGCCAUGACCCAUCUCCUUAAGCAAAUAUAGCACGUGGACUUUAUUUUUAAUUUUGACCUCUAGUCUUCAUUGGCACCUAGGUUAUUUGGGACAUGAUUCACUGGGUUAUGGGUUGCAAUGCUAAAGGGUCAGCUAAGGACAAGGAGACAGGAGACAUAUUGUCCUAUUAUGUAUAUAAUACUGAGUUGUGUCCACACCUGGAUUAGUAUAUGCCUUAUGGUGGGUAUGGUUUAGGUAGACCUGGGGGAGUACAGACUGAAAACAUAGGAACUUUUAGUAUGAAAGGGGCAGAUGGGCAUAAUAUAAAAAAGCUUUGAAAAUAUUUUAAAUAUUACCAGUUGGAGCUACCAUUUAUUGAGUGAUUAUCAUGAGCAUGCACCUUGUUAAGAGUUUUACAUAUAUUAGCUUAUUUAAAUAUUCAACAAUACUCCCAGAGGGUUGUUACUUCUUUUGUACAAUAUAGACAACUAAGUUUUAGGUCUGUUGCAAAUUGGAAUAAAAUGAACGAGAGUGAAUUUGGUGAGCAAAUAAAAAAAUGCUGAAGAUGAGUAAAUUUUUAUAAGUUCUGAGGAGUGGAUGAUUAAAAAAUUUUGUAAUCAGAUUCAUCUCCUCUAUAGGUGAUACAGAAGGAGAGGAUAAAUUAACACUAGUAUCUAAACAUCUUAAGGUAGAAGGAACUUUUUUAAAUUAAGGUAUCAUUGAUAUACAAUCUUAUGAAGGUUCCACAUGAGCAUCAUUGUGAUCACUACAUUCCCUCUUAUUAUCAAGUCCCCAUCACAUACCCCAUUACAGUCACUGUCCAUCAGCAUCAUAAGAUGCUAUAGAGUCACUACUUGUUAGAAGGAGCUUUUAUAGCUAUCUAGAAAAGAGUUUGCAAAAUUUAUUAAUUGAAGUUACAUAAAUGUCUAGGAAAAGCUUGGAUUUCAGAGAACAUUUAUUACUUUUUUGAAGGGUUUUUUAGGCAGCAGAAUAUUUAUUAAAGAGAUUUGUUGAUUUAUCCCUUAAAAUUAUACUUAGGAUUUCGUUUGUUUUACUAUGAAAGUUCACCAAGAACCAAUCUGAAUCAAACUGCAUAUUUCAAACCAAAGUAAACUAAUUUGCAAAAAUCAAAGAGGGACCCUGACACUUUGUAUAUCAACCAGAGUGUUUUCAAGGAAAAAAACAAUCUUACUGAGUAUUUUAAAUAAAACCACACUGGAAAAGAAAUAGAUGUUUGCUAUGAAUAUGAAAGGGGAUAAUGAAAUAAUUGUGAAUCUAGUCAUUAUAUCCCUAGUCUUCAAUUGAGGCAGUUGAUGAACUUACUAGACAGAAGUAAAAAUACACUUUAUAAAUA
Manis pentadactyla (Chinese pangolin) is the source of this 12542-nucleotide long non-coding RNA. RefSeq lists it as uncharacterized. The record is from RefSeq and is a predicted model, not a curated record. NCBI's taxonomy places the organism in Eukaryota, Metazoa, Chordata, Mammalia, Pholidota, Manidae. The transcript is spliced from 2 exons.